This 86-nucleotide transfer RNA is filed under the name Elusimicrobiota bacterium. Its description in RNAcentral is "tRNA-Leu". It matches the Rfam family "tRNA". From Rfam's summary of the family: Transfer RNA (tRNA) molecules are approximately 80 nucleotides in length. Their secondary structure includes four short double-helical elements and three loops (D, anti-codon, and T loops). Further hydrogen bonds mediate the characteristic L-shaped molecular structure. tRNAs have two regions of fundamental functional importance: the anti-codon, which is responsible for specific mRNA codon recognition, and the 3' end, to which the tRNAs corresponding amino acid is attached (by aminoacyl-tRNA synthetases). tRNAs cope with the degeneracy of the genetic code in two manners: having more than one tRNA (with a specific anti-codon) for a particular amino acid; and 'wobble' base-pairing, i.e. permitting non-standard base-pairing at the 3rd anti-codon position. The record is from RNAcentral. Lineage: Bacteria; Pseudomonadati; Elusimicrobiota.
GGCGGCGUGGCGGAAUGGCAGACGCAAUCGACUCAAAAUCGAUCGGGCUCACGCCCUUGUGGGUUCAAGUCCCACCGCCGGUACCA